Molecule: transfer RNA, 49 nt
Filed under: Brevibacillus sp.
Lineage: Bacteria; Bacillati; Bacillota; Bacilli; Caryophanales; Paenibacillaceae
Description: tRNA-Met
Source: RNAcentral
CGCGGGAUGGAGCAGCUCGGUAGCUCGUCGGGCUCAUAACCCGAAGGUC